AAUCUUCCGCAAUGGACGAAAGUCUGACGGAGCAACGCCUCGUGAGUGAUGAAGGCUUUCGGAUCGUAAAACGCUGUUGUGAGGGAAGAACAAGUAUCGGAGUCACUGCCGGUACCUUGACGGCAACUGACGAGAUAGCCACGGCUACCAAGGUGCCAUCAGCCGCGGUAAGACGUAGGUGGCAAGCGUUGUCCGGAUUUAUUGGGGGUAAAGCGCGCGCAGGCGGUCUUUUAAGUCUGAUGUGAAAUCUUACAGCUUAACUGUAAGCGGUCAUUGGAAACGGGGAGACUUGAGUGCAGAAGAGGAGAGUGGAAUUCCAUGUGUAGCGGUGAAAUGCGUAGAGAUAUGGAGGAACACCAGUGGCGAAGGCGACUCUCUGGUCUGUAACUGACGCUGAGGCGCGAAAGCGUGGGGAUCAAAC
This 421-nucleotide ribosomal RNA is filed under the name uncultured bacterium. RNAcentral describes it as "partial 16S ribosomal RNA". It matches the Rfam family "Bacterial small subunit ribosomal RNA", at positions 360 to 773 of the family's 1533-position model. The record is from RNAcentral.